GAUGAACGCUGACAGAAUGCUUAACACAUGCAAGUCUUUGGCGAAGCUGUGCUUGCACAGCCUAGCCAAGGCGGACGGGUGAGUAACGCGUAAGGGACUUGCCCUGCAGUCAGGAUAACAGACGGAAACGACUGAUAAAACCUGAUAAAGUCAGGCGGACCCAUGUCCAGCCUGAUGAAAAGGAAUGCUGCAGGAGAGCCUUGCGUCCUAUUAGCUUGUUGGUGGGGUAACGGCCCACCAAGGCGAUGAUAGGUAGCCGGCCUGAGAGGGUGGACGGCCACAAGGGGACUGAGAUACGGCCCUUACUCCUACGGGAGGCAGCAGUGGGGAAUAUUGGACAAUGGGGGCAACCCUGAUCCAGCAAUUCUGUGUGCACGAUGAAGGUCUUCGGAUUGUAAAGUGCUUUCAGCAGGGAAGAAAAA
RNAcentral lists this ribosomal RNA (422 nucleotides) under Leptotrichia wadei. RNAcentral's name for it is "bacterial SSU rRNA". It matches the Rfam family "Bacterial small subunit ribosomal RNA", at positions 28 to 452 of the family's 1533-position model. Lineage: Bacteria; Fusobacteriati; Fusobacteriota; Fusobacteriia; Fusobacteriales; Leptotrichiaceae. The record is from RNAcentral.